CAAAUUUGACAAACAAAGCUAAAUUGAAUUUGCUACAAAAACGACCCAGUUUAGAGGGCUAAAAGCUAGUUAAAUAGGACAUUCUCAGUAAUGUAGCCCACAUGGUCUGUUCCAGUGUGACUAGAGCUAUCAUUUGACACCGUUUCAAUAGACAAUGGAGCUUUUCUGCGAUUGUUAUGCACCCUCAGACAAAUUUGACAAACAAAGCUAAAUUGAAUUUGAUAAAAAAACGACCCAGUUUAGAGGGCUAAAAGCUAGUUAAAUAGAACAUUCUCAGUAAUGUAGCACACAUGGUCUGUUCCAGUGUGACUAGAGCUAUCAUUUGACACCGUUUCAAUAGACAAUGGAGCUUUUCUGUGAUUUUUAUGCACCCUCAGACAAAUUUGACAAACAAAGCUAAAUUGAAUUUGAUAAAAAAACGACCCAUUUAGAGGGCUAAAAGCUAGUUAAAUUGGACAUUCUCAGUAAUGUAGCACACAUGGUCUGUUCCAGUGUGACUAGAGCUAUCAUUUGACACCGUUUCAAUAGACAAUGGAGCUUUUCUGCGAUUUUUAUGCACCCCCAGACAAAUUUGACAAACAAAGCUAAAUUGAAUUUACUACAAAAACGACCCAGUUUAGAGGGCUAAAAGCUAGUUAAAUAGGACAUUCUCAGUAAUGUAGCACACAUGGUCUGUUCCAGUGUGACUAGAGCUAUCAUUUGACAUCGUUUCAAUAGACAAUGGAGCUUUUCUGCGAUUUUUAUGCACCCCCAGACAAAUUUGACAAACAAAGCUAAAUUGAAUUUAAUACAAAAACGACCCAGUUUAGAGGGCUAAAAGCUAGUUAAAUAGGACAUUCUCAGUAAUGUAGCACACAUGGUCUGUUCCAGUGUGACUAGAGCUAUCAUUUGACACCGUUUCAAUAGACAAUGGAGCUUUUCUGCGAUUUUUAUGCACCCCCAGACAAAUUUGACAAAGCUAAAUUGAAUUUACUACAAAAACGACCCAGUUUAGAGGGCUAAAAGCUAGUUAAAUAGGACAUUCUCA
RNAcentral lists this long non-coding RNA (1027 nucleotides) under Salmo salar (Atlantic salmon). RNAcentral describes it as "lncRNA (ENSSSAG00000085995.1)". Lineage: Eukaryota; Metazoa; Chordata; Actinopteri; Salmoniformes; Salmonidae. The record is from RNAcentral.